Molecule: ribosomal RNA, 450 nt
Filed under: uncultured bacterium
Lineage: Bacteria
Description: SSU rRNA
Rfam family: Bacterial small subunit ribosomal RNA
Source: RNAcentral
AGAACGAACGCUGGCGGCAGGCCUCAAACAUGCAAGUCUAGGGGGGUGCAGCAAUGCAUCACCGGCGGACGGGUGCGUAACACGUGGGAAUAUACCUUUUGGUUCGGAACAACGCAGGGAAACUUGCGCUAAUGCCGAAUGUGCCCUUACGGGGGAAAGAUUUAUCGCCAAAGGAUUAGCCCGCGUCCGAUUAGCUAGUUGGUGAGGUAAUGGCUCACCAAGGCUCCGAUCGGUAGCUGUUCUGAGAGGAAGAUCAGCCACACUGGGACUGAGACACGGCCCAGACUCCUACGGGAGGCAGCAGUUGGGAAUCUUGGACAUGGGGGAAACCCUGAUCCAGCCAUGCCGCGUGAGUGAUGAAGGCCUUCGGGUUGUAAAACUCUUUCGGACGGGGACGAUAAUGACGGUACCCGUAGAAGAAGCUCCGGCUAACUUCGUGCCAGCAGCCGC